Molecule: ribosomal RNA, 509 nt
Filed under: uncultured bacterium
Lineage: Bacteria
Description: bacterial SSU rRNA
Rfam family: Bacterial small subunit ribosomal RNA
Source: RNAcentral
AGUGAACGCUGGCGGUAGGCCUAACACAUGCAAGUCGAACGGCAGCACAGAGGAGCUUGCUCCUUGGGUGGCGAGUGGCGGACGGGUGAGGAAUACAUCGGAAUCUACUCUUUCGUGGGGGAUAACGUAGGGAAACUUACGCUAAUACCGCAUACGCCCUUCGGGGGAAAGCAGGGGAUCGCAAGACCUUGCGCGAUUGAAUGAGCCGAUGUCGGAUUAGCUAGUUGGCGGGGUAACGGCCCACCAAGGCGACGAUCCGUAGCUGGUCUGAGAGGAUGAUCAGCCACACUGGAACUGAGACACGGUCCAGACUCCUACGGGAGGCAGCAGUGGGGAAUAUUGGACAAUGGGCGCAAGCCUGAUCCAGCCAUACCGCGUGGGUGAAGAAGGCCUUCGGGUUGUAAAGCCCUUUUGUUGGGAAAGAAAAGCAUUCGGUUAAUACCCGAGUGUUCUGACGGUACCCAAAGAAUAAGCACCGGCUAACUUCGUGCCAGCCGCCGCCGUAACAC